UAUAAUUUAGUAUAGUAUGUACAUAGAUUUUUGAUAUCUAAAGAAAUAGUUUAAAUCUGUUAAUUAUAA
Molecule: transfer RNA, 69 nt
Filed under: Xylotrupes socrates tonkinensis
Lineage: Eukaryota; Metazoa; Arthropoda; Insecta; Coleoptera; Scarabaeidae
Also listed under: 1 other name
Description: tRNA-Gln
Source: RNAcentral